Molecule: ribosomal RNA, 468 nt
Filed under: uncultured bacterium
Lineage: Bacteria
Description: partial 16S ribosomal RNA
Rfam family: Bacterial small subunit ribosomal RNA
Source: RNAcentral
GACGAACGCUGGCGGCGUGCUUAACACAUGCAAGUCGAACGGAAAGGCCCUGCUUUUGUGGGGUGCUCGAGUGGCGAACGGGUGAGUGACACGUGAGUAACCUGCCCUUGACUUUGUGAUAACUUCAGGGAACUGGGGCUAAUACCGGAUAGGAGCUCCUGCUGCAUGUGGGGGGUUGGAAAAUUUCGGCGGUUGGGGAUGGAAUAGCGGCUUAUGCGCUUGUUGGUGGGGUUGUGGUGUUCCAGGCCUUUGACGGGUAGGCGGCCUGAGAGGGUGACCGGCCACAUUGGGACUGCGAUACGGCCCAGACGGCUACGGGAGGCAGCAGUGGGGAACAUUGCACAAUGGGCGGAAGCCUGAUGCAGCAACGCUGCGUGCGGGAUGACGGCUUUCGGGUUGUAAACCGCUUUCGCCUGUGACGAAGCGGGAGUGACGGUAAUGGGUAAAGAAGCACCGGCUAACUACGUG